Molecule: ribosomal RNA, 440 nt
Filed under: uncultured bacterium
Lineage: Bacteria
Description: partial 16S ribosomal RNA
Rfam family: Bacterial small subunit ribosomal RNA
Source: RNAcentral
CCUACGGGUGGCAGCAGUGGGGAAUAUUGCACAAUGGGGGAAAGCCUGAUGCAGCGACGCCGCGUGAGGGAUGAAGGAUUUCGGGAUGGAAAGCUCUAUCAGCAGGGAAGAAAAUGACGGUACCUGACUAAGAAGCCCCGGCUAACUACGUGCCAGCAGCCGCGGUAAUACGGAGGGGGCAAGCGUUAUCCGGAUUUACUGGGUGUAAAGGGAGCGUAGACGGAGGUGAAAGCGAGAGGUGAAAGCGCGGGGCUCAACCCCGAGACUGCAUUUGAAACGGUGCUGCUAGAGUGUCGUAGAGGCAGGCGGAAUUCCUAGUGUAGCGGUGAAAUGCGUAGAUAUUAGGAGGAACUCCAGUGGCGAAGGCGGCCCGCUGGACGAUGACUGACGCUGAGGCUCGAAAGCGUGGGGAGCAAACAGGAUUAGAUACCCGAGUAGUC